Molecule: ribosomal RNA, 1340 nt
Filed under: Deltaproteobacteria bacterium
Lineage: Bacteria; Pseudomonadati; Myxococcota; Myxococcia
Description: partial 23S ribosomal RNA
Rfam family: Bacterial large subunit ribosomal RNA
Source: RNAcentral
UCUGGAAAGGACCACCACAGAGGGUGACAGUCCCGUAAACGAAAGGGGUAGGCUCCUUACCUGUCCUUGAGUACCACGGGACACGAGGAAUCCUGUGGGAAUCUGCCCUGACCACAGGGCAAGGCUAAAUACCCUUGAUGACCGAUAGUGAACUAGUACCGUGAGGGAAAGGUGAAAAGCACCCCGGGAGGGGAGUGAAAUAGACCUGAAACCGUGUGCUUACAAGCAGUCAGAGUCCUUCCAGCAAUGGGAGGAUGAUGGCGUGCCUAUUGAAGAAUGAGCCGGUGAGUUAAUCUGUGUGGCUGGUUAAGCAACUGACGUUGCGGAGCCGAAGCGAAAGCGAGUCCGAAUAGGGCGAUUUGGUCGCAUGGAUUAGACCCGAAGCCGGGUGAGCUACCCAUGGCCAGGGUGAAGCUUCGAUAGAAUCGAAGUGGAGGCCCGAACCUGUCAGCGUUGCAAAGCUGUAGGAUGAGCUGUGGGUAGAGGUGAAAUGCCAAACGAACUCGGAGAUAGCUGGUUCUCCCCGAAAUGCAUUGAGGUGCAGCCUCAGGUGAUCGUUAAUGGAGGUAGGGCUCUGGAUGGACUAGGUGGGAGAGUAUCUUGCCAACUCCAACCAAACCAUGAAUGCCAUUAACCUCAGCCUGGGAGUGAGACUAUGGGGGAUAAGCUUCAUAGUCGAGAGGGAAACAGCCCAGACCAUCAGCUAAGGUCCCCAAGUGCAGGCUAAGUGGGAAAGGAAGUAGGAUUGCCCAGACAGCCAGGAGGUUGGCUUAGAAGCAGCCACCCUUUAAAGAGUGCGUAAUAGCUCACUGGUUGAGUGGUCAUGCGCCGAUAAUCCACCGGGGCUCAAGUCUGCCACCGAAGCUAUGGAUCCCAGCUUGCUGGGAUGGUAGGGGAGCGUUCCCUUGGCCGUGAAGUCGUUCCGUGAGGAGUGGUGGAGCUAAGGGAAGUGAGAAUGCCGGCAUGAGUAGCGUAAGGUGUGUGAGAAACACACCCACCGAAAACCUAAGGUUUCCUACGGAAGGUUAAUCCGCGUAGGGUUAGUCGGGCCUAAGCCGAGGCCGAAAGGCGUAGGCGAUGGACAACGGGUUAUUAUUCCCGUACCGCUGUUAUGGAGGCAAAGGGGGGACACGGAAGGGUAGGCUGAGCGUGCCUAAUGGACAUGGUGCGUCCGUCACACUAGGUGAUGCCGGGGCAGGUAAAUCCACCCCGGAUAUUAAGCUGAAGGUGGCGGGAAGUUGCGGGGAGACCCAAGGCGACUCAGCUGAACCCAUGCCGUCAAGAAAAGCUUCGUUGCCGUUGAAGUAGAAGCGCCCGUACCGCAAACCGACUCUGGUAGG